Molecule: unclassified non-coding RNA, 240 nt
Filed under: soil metagenome
Description: partial contains 5.8S ribosomal RNA, internal transcribed spacer 2, and large subunit ribosomal RNA
Source: RNAcentral
AAGACUAUAGACCUGCGGAGUACCUGCGGAGGGAUCAUUAACGAGUUUGAAGCGCCCCUUUGGUUGAGCUGGUCGCAAGGCAUGUGCUCGCCGAAGGGAAGCGUUCACUUCUCCCAAUCUCCCCUUUUUGUGCACCUUUGCGUGGGUUGGAAGGCCGUAAAAAAGCCGGAAAGCCUACGAUCUCUAUCUACCUCCACCGUACGGUACUUAGAAUGUCAUGGCUUGCGAUAAGUCGCAAUC